Molecule: long non-coding RNA, 1347 nt
Filed under: Anas platyrhynchos platyrhynchos (common mallard)
Lineage: Eukaryota; Metazoa; Chordata; Aves; Anseriformes; Anatidae
Description: lncRNA (ENSAPLG00000020450.1)
Source: RNAcentral
AAAUCAAACAUUUUAUUUUCCAGUAACAAUAAGACAUUUUAAUUUAAUGGAUUCUUAACAUUUUGGGCAACAAAUGAAGCUGUCAUUUACCUUUCUGGCAACAGUAAUUGCUUGAAAGGAAGUCUUUCCAGACAGCUGCUGAGAAGUCUUAAUCUUGGAUCUCUGCUUUCACCUUAGUGGUCCCUGGUAAAAAGACCAUGCAGUGUCUGUCAGUCAGUUAUUGUUCUCCUAUGUCCAUCAUUCUUCUUUAUUGUCACACAUUAUCUGCACCAUUAUCAGCAACUAAAUUCUCUUGCUGCUGCUCUGUUCAGCCUAUUCUUUUCCAUAACAGCAGCUUCCUUUCCUGUACUCCCAUUAGCUGCUACAUCUGACCAGCAGUCUCACACUGCUGUUAGCUUUGACAAUCAACUUGCCCCAACUGCCCCUUUGCUCAAACAAGUAUGAAACUCAAUCAUUGCACCUUCCAAGUAAUACUUUUAUUUGUCUUAACCUGCAGGAUUUUCUCCCAGCAUAGUUUAAUAUAGUACAAUUCAGAACGAAGAUAAUUUAAGAUCCAUAAAGAAAGCUAACAACUAUAGUGCUAUAAACAGUUUGGAGGUGAAGCUAGAGGAAUUCCAGAAACCAGUGAAAUCAGCUUCCCCUGCCAACCCACAUUCAGCUACACAGCCUUCAGAAACAACAACAUAGUGAAAACAACAACAACAAGCCAAAGAACAGACAAACAAUCGAAACCAUAUUAUUUAGUUAUCCAACCUGUUAAGUCUCUGCAGUGUUUCCAGGAAGAGAUCACCAUAUCUUUUCUUCUAGAAAAGUUUGAUGCGGGGCAAGCAAAACAUACAGUUAAAUUCUGAAGACAGCGAAGUGUUUGAGAAGUCUCCUGUGGGGAAUAUUUCCUCUGGAACACCGGUAUGGCCAAAGGCAUGCUGGUACCAUGCCAUGGAGGCAAGCUGUCAGCUGAAAUCAUCACAGUCACAAACAUCAUCUCAGAUAAAAUCUACUCAAAAGCAUUGCUCCGGUAAGCGGGACCUUGACCAGCCCUAACUGAUUAGAUGGUUCUGGUAUGAGCUCAGAAAAAUACAAUGGGAUGCCUGACCAAGAGCACUGCUAAAUGGGAUAUGGACAAAUCUCUCCUGCUAUGGUAGUUUAGGUAUGUGCAGAAAAGAAAAAAACACAAGUGACCUAUUAACAGCUUCAUAUCUUUAUCUUUGUGUUCAGGUUAGGAGGCUUGAAGGUGAUGGUAACACAGGUCACAAACUGUAAUUGCCUUUAGACAUGGGGAAAAUGACAGAGAUUAGUUAACCCAGGGGAUAUGUGCCUAGCAGGACCAUUGGCAGCUUAUUGUGACAU